CCUACGGGGGGCUGCAGUGGGGAAUAUUGCACAAUGGGCGCAAGCCUGAUGCAGCCAUGCCGCGUGUGUGAAGAAGGCCUUCGGGUUGUAAAGCACUUUCAGCGGGGAGGAAGGCGGUGAGGUUAAUAACCUCAUCGAUUGACGUUACCCGCAGAAGAAGCACCGGCUAACUCCGUGCCAGCAGCCGCGGUAAUACGGAGGGUGCAAGCGUUAAUCGGAAUUACUGGGCGUAAAGCGCACGCAGGCGGUCUGUCAAGUCGGAUGUGAAAUCCCCGGGCUCAACCUGGGAACUGCAUUCGAAACUGGCAGGCUAGAGUCUUGUAGAGGGGGGUAGAAUUCCAGGUGUAGCGGUGAAAUGCGUAGAGAUCUGGAGGAAUACCGGUGGCGAAGGCGGCCCCCUGGACAAAGACUGACGCUCGGGUGCGAAAGCGUGGGGAGCAAACAGGAUUAGAUACCCCUGUAGUC
Molecule: ribosomal RNA, 465 nt
Filed under: uncultured Klebsiella sp.
Lineage: Bacteria; Pseudomonadati; Pseudomonadota; Gammaproteobacteria; Enterobacterales; Enterobacteriaceae
Description: bacterial SSU rRNA
Rfam family: Bacterial small subunit ribosomal RNA
Source: RNAcentral